CUGGAGCGAGGUUUGCUUCGAGAGGAGCUGCUGUCACCAUGCUGAGACUGAGAAGCGGGCAACCCAGGCUUAUCCGCGAGGGUACAGAUGGCCGCGUCUAGCUGUGCAUACAACAGAACAGUGUGGCUCAGUGUGUGGUCCCCAGACCAGCAGCAGCAGCACCUGGGAACUCACUGGAAAUGCUGGAUCUCGGAUCACACCCCAGACCUGCUGCAUCAGACACUUGGGGACGGGAGGAGCAGCAACUUGGAUUGUCAGAAACCCUCCAGGGGAUUUCAUGCACCCUGAAGUUUGAGAAUCACGAUCUUAGAGGAAAAAUGUGUUUAUUAGGAAACUCUGAGUACAUUUGCUGGAGGUAAAUCCUGUCUUCAUCUUGGGGACAAGAGGAGAAGAUAUACAUUUAUAUUUGUGGACAAGAUUCUUGAACUUCAUCUUCAGACUUCCUGCUUCGAGGCAUCUGGAUUUGGAAGCUGAGAUUUUGCAUUUCUAACUAUUUCCCAGGCAAUCUCUUCCCGGCUGGGCGGGAAACCACAUUUUGAGAGCCCCUGGCCUGGACUGCUUUAGUAGUGCCCCCUUCCCGGCCUCCCACAUUUCCUGUAUUGACAUUAUCAUAACAGUUACUUCUUCAGUCGACCAUCCUUCAUGGAGGGCGCUCGCUGUGGCCCCAUGUCCGUUCUAGACACGCAGUAGGAGUCAAUGCUCUGUAGCUGUUUGCAGCAAGGGCUUUAAGUAUGAAAGUUGUGCUGUGAAUCCCAGCCUAGGCUUUCUAGCUUUUUCAGUAAGGCAGACCAUCUUAUUCUCUGAGACUCAUUUUUUUCUGACCUGUGAAAUGGGAACGAUAUUAUUACAUGCCUCCCAGGUUUGUUGUAAGGAUUGUGUAAAGUAAGGCACGUGGGACCUCAGAAGAGUGCCUCACAGAGAAUAAUCCCACUGGGCCAUCCCACUGGGCCAUGAUGGCUUGUAUUGUUAUUAAUAGCACAAGAUGCUUCUUUAAAACAUCUUGCAUAUUGUGGUUGCCUGCAUAUGUACUUAUUUUCCCAAACUUGGAGCUCCAUGGUCACAUCGGUAUACUGACCACCGAGCAAUCCCGCAGCACAUAGAGGAGCUCUGUAAAAAGGUAUGGAGUGAACAAUGGGAGAUUUAUGGUCUGGACACCCCCCGUAAGCUUUGAGUCUCUCUCUCUGAGUCAGCUUCUCAGGGACCCCACACAUAGACUGUCCUCCAUGGUCUGAUCUCCAGGUUUUCUCUGAUAAAGAGAUUGAACUGAUACUCGGGUUCGAGCUAGCCAAACUCUCAUCACUGGGUUGUCCCUCUUGCUACCCUCGCACAAUUGUCUUGUCUAAGUUUUUCUCAUGCUAGUCCUUCUAUCUAGAAUGCGGUUCUUUCUGUUCUUUUCAGAUCUAAAUUCCAUCCGGCAGAGGCCUCUCCCUUCUUCUGCACCAGACUUGGGCUGUUGUCAUCCUAUUCCUGCCGAGGGCCUUGGGAUGGUUUCAUCAAUGAUGAUAGAGCUCUUCUCUUGAACUUUUGUGUUUUUCUUGUCUUAUAACUAAAUUAUAAGAAACCCACACUUGACAGAAUAAUUUAAAAUGACUUAGGAGGCCCCAUGCAGUGUCUCACAUUUGGAGGAAGUUAGGGUUUCAUUCAUGUGGGUUUGGAUGACAAGGACAACAGGUUGCUGGAUGGUUAUUCAGAUCUGCAUGAAUUACAUGGUCUUCCUCAAUGGCAAUUUAUUUAGGUGGACAGGAAAGUAAAAAAGGGUUUGGUUUGGUUUUUUAAAUCAAGCUCCCUUGCAAGAUCACUUACCCAUUAGGUUGUAAAUUAUCUUAUGUAUCUUUUCAUGGAUGGGAUUCAACAAUGUUAUUUUUAAAAGUACUUACGAGCAUCUACUUUGUUGCAGGUAGUGAACCAGGCAGUGGGAUACGUGGGGUGAAUGAGAGCAAGAUGGCCGCUAUUGGCCUCUGGUCUGGAGGUGUAACUCUAACAGGUUAGGAUGGGUUAUGUUAUGUUGUAGUAAUAGACAAACCCUAGAAACUCAGUUCCAUAACACAAGAAAGGUUUAUUUCUCACUCAACGGAGUCUUAUAUCAGGUUGGACAAUUUCCAGGCCAGCUGCUGUCCAUGAAGUGACUCACUGGUCCAGGUUCCUUCCAUCUGAUGAACAUAGGAUCGAAGUAGUCAAAAGACCCCACCCACAUAAAGCAGAUUAGAAACUACCAUCCUCCCAUGAGUUCAGGAAAAGGAGGAGAGACCUAGUGCUCACGUAGUGUGAAUGCUUGGUGUCUAUCACUUCUACUCUGCUGUUUAAUUUUCCUGAUGCCUUUUAAAGCUUGCUUUUUUUUUUUUUUUUUCAAAAUAAAGUAUAAGGUCUAGUGAUAGAGCUAUGCAUUUAUUUUCUUUGAUCAAAAAAAGGAAAUAUGAUGUACCUAUACAGUGGACUAUUACUCAGCUAUCAAAAAGAAUGGAAUCUUGCCAUUUGCAAUGACAUCCAUGCAAUAGUUCCAUCUGAACUAUUUUGCUAAGGGAACUAUGUCAGCCAGAAACAAAUACCAUAUGAUUUCACUCAUACGUGGGACUUAAGAAACAAAAUACAUGAACAC
This is a long non-coding RNA of Mustela erminea (ermine), 2596 nucleotides long. RefSeq lists it as uncharacterized. The transcript is spliced from 4 exons. NCBI's taxonomy places the organism in Eukaryota, Metazoa, Chordata, Mammalia, Carnivora, Mustelidae. The record is from RefSeq and is a predicted model, not a curated record.